Molecule: ribosomal RNA, 479 nt
Filed under: Eremias scripta (Sand racerunner)
Lineage: Eukaryota; Metazoa; Chordata; Lepidosauria; Squamata; Lacertidae
Description: partial large subunit ribosomal RNA
Rfam family: Bacterial large subunit ribosomal RNA
Source: RNAcentral
UAUUUAACGGCCGCGGUAUCCUAACCGUGCAAAGGUAGCAUAAUCACUUGUCCUCUAAAUAAGGACUAGAAUGAACGGCUAAAUGAGGACUAAACUGUCUCUUGCAGAAGGCCAAUGAAACUGAUCUUUCAGUCCAAAAGCUGGAAUAUUAUCAUAAGACGAGAAGACCCUGUGGAGCUUAAAACCUUGACCACCAAACAUGUACAUCCUUGGUUUUUAGUUGGGGCGACUUCGGAGCAAAAGACAACCUCCGAUAAAACAUAUCAAGAUCUACACAUCAAAAUAAUCAUUUGACCCAGUAGUUUAACAAAACUAUCUGAUCAAUGAACCAAGUUACCCCAGGGAUAACAGCGCUAUCCCCUUCUAGAGUCCAUAUCGACAAGGGGGCUUACGACCUCGAUGUUGGAUCAGGAAAUCCUAAUAGUGCAGCUGCUAUUAAGGGCUCGUUUGUUCAACGAUUAAUAUCCUACGUGAUCUGA